UACAGAGGGUGCGAGCGUUAAUCGGAAUUACUGGGCGUAAAGCGCGCGUAGGCGGCUUUGCAAGUCGGGGUGUGAAAUCCCCAGGCUCAACCUGGGAACUGCAUUCGAGACUGCAUUGCUAGAGUAUGGGAGAGGGAAGUGGAAUUUCAGGUGUAGCGGUGAAAUGCGUAGAUAUCUGGAGGAACACCGAUGGGCGAAGGCAGGUCUCUGGGGCAUUAACUGACGCUGAGGAGCGAAAGCAUGGGGGAGCGAACAGGA
RNAcentral lists this ribosomal RNA (258 nucleotides) under uncultured bacterium. RNAcentral describes it as "partial 16S ribosomal RNA". It matches the Rfam family "Bacterial small subunit ribosomal RNA", at positions 524 to 777 of the family's 1533-position model. The record is from RNAcentral.